Molecule: transfer RNA, 79 nt
Filed under: Serratia phage Moabite
Lineage: Duplodnaviria; Heunggongvirae; Uroviricota; Caudoviricetes; Chimalliviridae
Description: tRNA-Ser
Rfam family: tRNA
About the family: Transfer RNA (tRNA) molecules are approximately 80 nucleotides in length. Their secondary structure includes four short double-helical elements and three loops (D, anti-codon, and T loops). Further hydrogen bonds mediate the characteristic L-shaped molecular structure. tRNAs have two regions of fundamental functional importance: the anti-codon, which is responsible for specific mRNA codon recognition, and the 3' end, to which the tRNAs corresponding amino acid is attached (by aminoacyl-tRNA synthetases). tRNAs cope with the degeneracy of the genetic code in two manners: having more than one tRNA (with a specific anti-codon) for a particular amino acid; and 'wobble' base-pairing, i.e. permitting non-standard base-pairing at the 3rd anti-codon position.
Source: RNAcentral
GAACCGAGUAGCUCAACUGAAUAGAGCACCGUCCCGCUAAGACGGCCGUUGGAGGUUCAAAUCCUUCCUCAGGUUCCCA